This 73-nucleotide transfer RNA is filed under the name Blattella germanica (German cockroach). RNAcentral describes it as "tRNA-Ala (AGC) (tRNA-Ala-AGC-8-1)". It matches the Rfam family "tRNA". Rfam says of the family: Transfer RNA (tRNA) molecules are approximately 80 nucleotides in length. Their secondary structure includes four short double-helical elements and three loops (D, anti-codon, and T loops). Lineage: Eukaryota; Metazoa; Arthropoda; Insecta; Blattodea; Blattellidae. The record is from RNAcentral.
GGUGAUGUAGCUCAAAUGGUAGAGCGCUCGCUUAGCAUGCGAGAGGUACCAGGAUCAAUACUUGGCAUCUCCA